UCCCAGCCCACAAGGGACAUAGGCUAGAGGAUUGUGAGUUCAAAGUCAGCCAGGCCUCUGUAAAGAGUCCCUGUCUCAAAACCAAAUAAAAUUCCAUACAAUUAAGUAAUUGAUUCUAUAGUCAAGACAGGACUUCGUAGUGUCUUUGUGGUUGUUAUGGAAACCAUAUCAUUAUUACCUGCUCUGUGUUUUAAAUGCCAGGAUGACAUGGGGCCUAGCAUUGUGCCACGGGUUGAUGAAUGUGGUGAUCAGGGUAAAAGGGAAUUGGCCGAGGAAGAGGAGGACCUUCCCAGGAGGCCCAGAAAGCUCAAGACACCUUAAGAGAAAGAGAAGAAAAUUAUUUUAAAAAGAUUGAAUGAAGACUUAUUAUAAUUGACUUUGCAAAAGCUUGAAAUACUAACUUGUGACACCGUUUCAAACUCUUUGUGAAACAGGGACCGUGAUAAGCUGCAAGCUUUCACAACUGUCAACCGUAAACACUGGAAGAGAAGCAGCCACGUCAAUUAUGGAGCUUCUCAAAGGCUGGAUGUGUGUGUCAAUCACCCGGGUUCCCGUUAAAAUAAACCACAAUGCGUUUCAUGAAAAACCAUCGGGCACAAAAGCAAAGCAUCAACAAAUUGAUACUUUCUUGCUUCGCCACGCCUGAUUUAAGGAAAUGAACACAAAAUGGGCUGCAAUUUGAAAAUUGACAUCAACCACAUUUAAGACUGUUCUCUUUUUUAAAUAUUAGCAGUUGAGUGUGCAGCGGUCUCCAUCUCCUAAGAUUCUGGCUGCUCUGGAAAAAGUGAGAACUGGCCACAGCACAGAAGUCCAGAGCCCGCUCUUCCCACCAGACAUCACCAUAAAUAAUUUCGGUAGAAAUGCCCAGAAGAGGACCCUGGAGCAUCAGUUAAUCCAUUAAAGACAACCUCAGAGGGCACCAAAAUAUUCUGAUGUCUCAAUAAGGAACAACAACAAAGCAAUUUCCUCCUGCAUCAGCUUGACAAAGGGUUAGGGGUGGGAUCCUGCAUUCACUUCUUCUCGGUGCUGGGACUCUGUCUGGCUGGAAGCUAUGCAGGUCAUGUGCACACAGCCACAAUCUCUGUUAGUUUAUAUGUGUGUCAGUGCUGUUGUGUCCGGAUGAUGCUGUCUGACUCUUACAACCUUUCUGCCUUCUCUUCCCUUAGAGUCCUGAACCUUAGGGGAGGGGCUUGAUGAUGACACCUCAUGUAAGACUGAGUUAUCAAAGCUGCUCACUCUGCUCAUCGCCUGGUCGUGGGGAGUCUAUGUUAAUUCCCACCCACUGAAAGAAGAUGCUUUUCUCACGAGGGUGGAGCAGAUGUCAUUGAACUUUGCCUCUGUUUGGACCAAUAGAGAAUGGAGGUUUUUCUGACAACACAGUAAAUCAAUUGAUUUUUAUGAAAUUUAUAGUUGAACAAAAUAAUGGGCUUCAUGGUGACAUUUUCUUACAAACAUGCUAUAAACUUUGAGAUCA
This is a long non-coding RNA of Alexandromys fortis (reed vole), 1474 nucleotides long. RefSeq lists it as uncharacterized. NCBI's taxonomy places the organism in Eukaryota, Metazoa, Chordata, Mammalia, Rodentia, Cricetidae. The record is from RefSeq and is a predicted model, not a curated record. The transcript has 5 exons.